Long non-coding RNA from Ficedula albicollis (Collared flycatcher), 339 nucleotides. RefSeq lists it as uncharacterized. The record is from RefSeq and is a predicted model, not a curated record. The transcript is spliced from 3 exons. Lineage: Eukaryota; Metazoa; Chordata; Aves; Passeriformes; Muscicapidae.
UCUCUCACAGAUGAUGCAGAGUGUGGUAAUUGCCAGGGAAAUCUCAUGCCCGGCUGUGUCACAGCUUCAUGACUUGGGAGGAGGUGUAAAUAAUACCCGGAAAUAGGACUACGGACACAAAUCCAAACAGAGAUGCUCCCUUGGCUUUUGAAUGGAAACAGACAUGACACCAUCUGUCAAAAUAACAUUGGAAGCACUUUUGCUUGCACAGAAGACAUGAAUAAGGUCUUGGGAGAAAUCCUUCAGGCAAUCCCAGGCUCCGAGCAAUCAGCAGACCUCUUCAUGUGACUUGGAAAACUGUGAGUUCUAACUGCUCUGCUCUCUUUGAAGACCAUGACU